Molecule: long non-coding RNA, 393 nt
Organism: Silurus meridionalis
Lineage: Eukaryota; Metazoa; Chordata; Actinopteri; Siluriformes; Siluridae
Exons: 3
Source: RefSeq, a predicted model, not a curated record
GUUCGGGUGGGUGUGGAGACCACGCUGGAGCGAAACCAGAUCACACGUGACCAUAUGGGUCAUCUGUUCCAUCAGCUGCUGCAGGCUGGGAUCCUCUCCACAUCUCAGUUUUUUAAAGGGUUCUCAGAAACCCUCGAGAUAGCAGAUGAUAUGGCGAUUGACAUUCCUUAUGUAUGGCAGUACAUAGCGGAGCUCGUUAAUCCUGUGCUUCGGGAAGGAGGAAUCUCUUUUAGAUUCCACCGUUUUAGAUUUUAAUUGUUGAUUUCUUGUGAAUUCCAGUAAAUUUAGCAAACCACUACUUCCUGUGUCAAGAGCCGGCAUAUUAUUUGCAGAAAUAUUGCACCUUCUCUGCAAACACAUGAGCCAAAAGGAAGUGGAGGCCUUAUGGAGGGA